This 391-nucleotide ribosomal RNA is filed under the name uncultured bacterium. RNAcentral's name for it is "bacterial SSU rRNA". It matches the Rfam family "Bacterial small subunit ribosomal RNA", at positions 28 to 420 of the family's 1533-position model. The record is from RNAcentral.
GACGAACGCUGGCGGCGUGCUUAACACAUGCAAGUCGAGCGGUAAGGCCCCUUCGGGGGUACACGAGCGGCGAACGGGUGAGUAACACGUGGGUGACCUGCCCUCAGCUCUGGGAUAAGCCUGGGAAACUGGGUCUAAUACCGGAUAUGACUCCAUGACGCAUGUCGUGGGGUGGAAAGCCUUGUGCGGCUGGGGAUGGGCCCGCGGCCUAUCAGCUUGUUGGUGGGGUGAUGGCCUACCAAGGCGACGACGGGUAGCCAGCCUGAGAGGGCGACCGGCCACACUGGGACUGAGACACGGCCCAGACUCCUACGGGAGGCAGCAGUGGGGAAUCUUGCGCAAUGGGCGAAAGCCUGACGCAGCGACGCCGCGUGAGGGAUGACGGCCUGGU